CGAGUAUGAGAAGAAGUUGGGAAAGAAAGGAUGAAAGGCAAGCAGGCCCAUCAUCCUUCAUCAUUUUUGGUAUUCAGAAAUUCUCGAAAAACUUGUGCAUGAUAGUUAAAUUAGUGGAACAAACCAAGUUUUCAACUGAUAAAUGUACAAAAGGAACUUCCAAGUUUUCCACCUACAAAAGAGAUUUCUAUGGGUCUGCUAUGUGCUGCAUUUACCAUCGUACAGAAAUUACUGCAAUAUAUUACAAAGCCGCCUUUUAGUUUGUCCUUCAUCCAUUUCACAGAGAGAGAAGCAGUAUCUGAAUGCAAUUCCCUCAUUCUCAUACCAUGAAGGUAGUUCCAUGAUCUUCCAUGGACUUUUUUUUUUCUUCUAGAUAUAUAUUUGUAUGAUUCACCUAGAGUUCAGAUCGAAUUCGCCAACUUCUCGCCAUUCGCCCUGCGCACCAGUGUCUCCAUUUUCAGUUUCCUCAUCAUUCAAGAAAUCUUCAGAUGGCUCCUUUUCAUCUCUCUGUGCAUUGUUUCCCCAGCCAUUCAUCAUCUGAUCAGUGUUUGCACCGUGUUCCUGCUCUCCCAUGUCAUGACCAAUUGAAACACUGUUGCCUCGUGAUCCAAGGGCACUUGCCCUUAUUGGGGCUCGAGCCAUCAUUUCAGCAUGGGCAUGUGAUUCUGCACGAGCUUGCUCUGCCUGAACCAUGGCAGCCAUUCUCAACUGAGCCUCACGACCAGCUUUCUCCCUGGCAUCCAUUUCUGUUUUCAGCUCCAACAGAAGCCGCUUCUCCUCCUGGAGGAGAAUCUGCUCAAUCAUAAGUCUCUCCUCAGAGCGGAAUUCACCCAAAGCCCGCUUGCGGGUUAUUAUGUUGAAAGCUAGGGCUUGUUUCUCAAAUGUGCCUGUGAAUUCCGCAACUUUGGCUGCAAUAUUGAAAUCCCAUUGCUGAGAACGAGAUGGCAUCUGACCUGUUGUGUCAGAAUCAAGGAUUCUAUCAUCCUCCUCUGCUUCAUAGUCCGCUACUACAUGAUAAGGAAGUAAUCUUUCACAGGCAUCCUCAAGAGAAGAAAAUGGCCUCUUGACAUCCGGGUGGCAGACCCGCCAAGCGUCCUGGUAAGCCAUCUGGAGCUCCACCUGGUUGAGUGGGGGCCGGAUCCCCUUCUGCUGCUGCUGCUGCUGAGAAUGUUGAGCUUGCUGCGCAUUUUGGGGCAAAUUGGAUCCUUGCUGCUGCAAAUUGGGGUUAGAAUUAGGGUUAGGGUUUUGCUGCUGGAUAUUGAGAGGGCGAUGGAGGCCAGGGGGACGGAGGUGGGCGUCGAUGUUGGAAGGAAAUCGUGAAAUGGCCGCCGCUUGUUGUUGGUGGUGGUGCUGCUGUUGUUGCGCUUGCUUCUGUAAUUGUUGUAAUAAGAGAAAUUGUUGCUGUUGCUGUUGCUGUUGUUGUUGUUGCGCUUGUUGCUGCUGUAAGAGCAAUUGCUGUUGAUCCAUUUCUCCCCCUCUAUCCGUCUCUCUGGCUUUCUCCUUGUGGAACCUUGCUUAAGCCUAUUCAAUGUAUGACCCUGUGCCUUGGGAGAGAAGUGAA
This 1561-nucleotide unclassified non-coding RNA is filed under the name Hevea brasiliensis (rubber tree). The record is from RNAcentral. Lineage: Eukaryota; Viridiplantae; Streptophyta; Magnoliopsida; Malpighiales; Euphorbiaceae.